Portunus trituberculatus (swimming crab) is the source of this 367-nucleotide long non-coding RNA. RefSeq lists it as uncharacterized. The record is from RefSeq and is a predicted model, not a curated record. The transcript has 4 exons. NCBI's taxonomy places the organism in Eukaryota, Metazoa, Arthropoda, Malacostraca, Decapoda, Portunidae.
GAAAACGCUUCCUGCUAUUGAAAAACAACCUUAUUUAAUCUAACCUAACCUAACCUAACCACCACAACCCCACUCCUCUCUCCCACCAGGUCCUGCCGCCCUCCGCCACCCGAGCCGCACAAGUGAGUGGCCAGCGGGUCGCCUCUGAUCACUCCCCGGGGUCAGGUCAGCAGACCGUGGGUUGAGGAAGGAGGGCAGUAAAGACGAACGGGUGUGGAAAUCAUGCAAGAAACACGAGGAGGAAUACAACUUGGUGUUAGAAAGGAGUGAAAUGUGUGAAGGACAACGUGAAGGACGACCUCGAGGACCCACGGACUCAGCAACACUCCUGGGGAACAAACGAGACGAGUCAAGGAGGAGGGGGACA